Long non-coding RNA from Sinocyclocheilus rhinocerous, 432 nucleotides. RefSeq lists it as uncharacterized. NCBI's taxonomy places the organism in Eukaryota, Metazoa, Chordata, Actinopteri, Cypriniformes, Cyprinidae. The transcript is spliced from 3 exons. The record is from RefSeq and is a predicted model, not a curated record.
AUGAGAGAUGCACAUUUCAUAACCAAGCCAAGGACUUUGCAAUCAAUCUGGAGAAUAAGGUGUUUUCUAUUAAUGAAGCUUUACAGAUGAAGUCUUUGACAUUUGUGAUCGACGCCUGCAAGAUUCUUGCCCAAGCUCGAAAGGUGCUGGCAUACUCGUGUGUUUACAGCUAUUACAAUCAGGACACUGAGAAGAUGGAUGUGAUGGAGCAACAGACAGAAGCUCUGGACCUUCAUACUAACGCCCUGCAGAUCCUGCUUGGUUAGUGUUAGGGAAAGCGCACUCUCAACUCUGCCAAUCAGUCACUCGCCAUUGCUUUUGGGAAUGUUAUACAAGAAACCUUGGACAAGUUGACUGCAACAGUGACCACAAACCUUUUCACCAGCCUUGGUUCUUGGAAGUACUUUUCCCAUUCACAUUCUCAAUAGGGAU